GUGCACCAGGCGAGAAACCUCCGCAAUACACGAAAGUGUGACGGGGCCAUCCCGAGUGCCGUCCGCUGAGGACGGCUUUUCCCCAGUGUACACAGCUGGGGGAAUAAGGAGAGGGCAAGCCUGGUGUCAGCCGCCGCGGUAAUACCAGCUCUCCGAGUCGGUGGGGAACGCUUAUUGGGCCUAAAAGCAUCCGUAGCCGGCUGGGCAAGUCCUCCGGUUAAAUCCAACGAUUCAAUCGUUGGGCUGCGGGGGAUACUGUCCAGCUUGGGGGCGGGAGAGGCCGACGGUAUUCCCGGGGUA
Molecule: ribosomal RNA, 300 nt
Filed under: uncultured microorganism
Description: bacterial SSU rRNA
Rfam family: Archaeal small subunit ribosomal RNA
Source: RNAcentral